This is a long non-coding RNA of Melanaphis sacchari, 386 nucleotides long. RefSeq lists it as uncharacterized. The transcript has 3 exons. Lineage: Eukaryota; Metazoa; Arthropoda; Insecta; Hemiptera; Aphididae. The record is from RefSeq and is a predicted model, not a curated record.
UUGAAAAAUAAUGUCAACAUUUUAACCUCAAGGCUGAGGACUAACUACAGAUAUGUUCGCCAAAAAUGCUCUUAACGAACAGUUAGCCGCAGUGGCUCGCACUCGCAAACUGGAUACUAUUAUCAACAGGUUGCUCAAUAACCGAGUUACAUUACAGUUAUAGAAUUGAAAAAUCUACGCUGAGGUAUGCAAAGUACGUAAUUAGGAUCAAAUUAAGGAAUGUUGUAAUGAAGAAAUUAACAAUCAGAAGUGGAUAGAAAUUUUAAAUGAAUUUGAAAAACAUGUAAAAUUCCUAAAUUGUACCUACUGUAACAUUAGAUGGGAAGCAUAUUCCAAUGAUUCAACCACUAGAUUCCGGUAUCCAAUUAAACUUAUUAUAACUAUAU